This 69-nucleotide transfer RNA is filed under the name Aporia potanini intercostata. Its description in RNAcentral is "tRNA-Gly". Lineage: Eukaryota; Metazoa; Arthropoda; Insecta; Lepidoptera; Pieridae. The record is from RNAcentral.
AUUUAUAUAAUAUAUCUAGUAUAUUUGACUUCCAAUCAAAAAGUUUAAAAAAUUAAUUUAAUAUAAACA